This 268-nucleotide signal recognition particle RNA is filed under the name Bacillus thermozeamaize. RNAcentral's name for it is "signal recognition particle sRNA large type". It matches the Rfam family "Bacterial large signal recognition particle RNA". From Rfam's summary of the family: The signal recognition particle (SRP) is a universally conserved ribonucleoprotein involved in the co-translational targeting of proteins to membranes. Archaeal SRP consists of a 7S RNA and homologues of the eukaryotic SRP19 and SRP54 proteins. Lineage: Bacteria; Bacillati; Bacillota; Bacilli; Caryophanales; Bacillaceae. The record is from RNAcentral.
CCGUGCUAGACGGGGAGGUAGCGGUGCCCUGUGACCCGCAAUCCGCUAUAGCGGGGUUGAAUUCCUGUUAGCGGUGCCUUCUCAUUUGGGGUCUGACCUCUGCACGCAGUGUUGACAAUCGGGUCUUGCGCAACGAACGGCCGUGAACCCCGUCAGGUCCGGGAGGAAGCAGCGGUAAGCGGUUUGGUUCGUGUGCCGCAAGGGCGCCUGAUUCGAGCUGGCGACAGAGGUAACGCCCGGAUGGGAGGUAUCAAUAACAGGUGCACGG